AUAUGAUGUGAUGAAAACUUGACCUUAGGCCGAUUUGUUUUGAUCGUUCUGGUCAAAUUCUUUGAUCGGUCGAUGCUAGGCCUCGUCAUAGUUACACUGAUCAUAU
Molecule: small nucleolar RNA, 106 nt
Organism: Erpetoichthys calabaricus (reedfish)
Lineage: Eukaryota; Metazoa; Chordata; Cladistia; Polypteriformes; Polypteridae
Gene: SNORD46
Product: small nucleolar RNA, C/D box 46
Source: Ensembl